RNAcentral lists this ribosomal RNA (522 nucleotides) under uncultured bacterium. Its description in RNAcentral is "partial 16S ribosomal RNA". It matches the Rfam family "Bacterial small subunit ribosomal RNA", at positions 355 to 868 of the family's 1533-position model. The record is from RNAcentral.
UGGGGAAUUUUGGACAAUGGGCGCAAGCCUGAUCCAGCAAUGCCGCGUGCAGGAUGAAGGCCUUCGGGUUGUAAACUGCUUUUGUACGGAACGAAAAGCCUCUCUCUAAUACAGGGGGGUGAUGACGGUACCGUAAGAAUAAGCACCGGCUAACUACGUGCCAGCAGCCGCGGUAAUACGUAGGGUGCAAGCGUUAAUCGGAAUUACUGGGCGUAAAGCGUGCGCAGGCGGUUUUGUAAGACAGUGGUGAAAUCCCCGGGCUCAACCUGGGAACUGCCAUUGUGACUGCAAGGCUGGAGUGCGGCAGAGGGGGAUGGAAUUCCGCGUGUAGCAGUGAAAUGCGUAGAUAUGCGGAGGAACACCGAUGGCGAAGGCAAUCCCCUGGGCCUGCACUGACGCUCAUGCACGAAAGCGUGGGGAGCAAAACAGGAUUAGAUACCCUGGUAGUCCACGCCCUAAAACGAUGUCAACUGGUUGUUGGGGAUUUAUUUCUUCAGUAACGAAGCUAACGCGUGAAGUUGA